GAGAUAUAGCUCAAUUGGUAGAGUGCUUGUCUUGCAUGUACAAGGUCCUGGGUUUGAUCCCCAGCACACA
Molecule: transfer RNA, 70 nt
Filed under: Marmota monax (woodchuck)
Lineage: Eukaryota; Metazoa; Chordata; Mammalia; Rodentia; Sciuridae
Description: tRNA.Ala
Source: RNAcentral